CCGCCUCCUGCAGGCACCGCCUCCUGCAGGCACCGCCUCCUCCUCUUCAUCGUCUCCAUCACACUGACUGUGAACAGUCCCUCUUCAUGAGCUCCAUGUCCCACGCCAGCUUCCACUUUCCACCAGAAAUACUUUGAACACUGAAUUACAGUAUUUUGAAAUACAGAUAAAGUGCAGUGGCUGAAUACUCACACAUAACAGUAAGGAAAACAUUCCCUGAAGCCAGGACGACCUUCUCCCGCGUCGCCCGGUCGUAGAUGCCCACGUGGCAUUCGUACGGCCCGUUGUCUGAGAUCCGAACCUCCGGGAGCCUGUGGAACACAAGAGUUACUCUACAAAGCCGAGUCCUGGUCCAGGAUCCCGACCGCCGCAUUCACAGAUUCAAACAAGAGCAAAGAAAAGAACCCGCGGAGAAGAUGAUGCCACAAGAAGAAGAAGGGAGAGGCCUCAAAGAAAUCCACCGACCACAGCGUUUCUGAGCAGAGGCCUGCUCCUGAAGUCGGCAGCGGUUCGACGUGUCCGUCAGAAUUAUCAGAGCAGAAGAGGAGAAGGUUUAACACCGAACAUCGAGGCUUCUGUUGAAUAUCGCGACUGGUGGGAUGAAUCUUUCAACACUUUCAAGUCAGGCCUUUGACGAGGACACGUGACUCCGACUCUCCUUUUCC
Molecule: long non-coding RNA, 665 nt
Organism: Scophthalmus maximus (turbot)
Lineage: Eukaryota; Metazoa; Chordata; Actinopteri; Pleuronectiformes; Scophthalmidae
Exons: 2
Source: RefSeq, a predicted model, not a curated record